AACGUUGCUUCCGAGGAGACUGCAGACGGCUCGCAGUUUGUGUGUCUAUAACCACAGCUUCGACUACAACACCAACAACAACACCAACGCCAACAACACCAACACCAACAGAAACAACAACAGAAACAACAACAGAAACAACAACAACAACACCAACAACAACACCAGAAGGAUAAAGAGAUGGCGCUGCAGUCCAUCGGCCGCCUGCAUUUUCUGCGGACAAGAGCUUUGUCGUGUUCCUGGUCAUUGCUUUUAUUUUCUCCUCCUUAAUUUUUCUUGGCUUUAGCAUUGAUAUGUUGAUUGUAUCAGGUUGCGUAUAAACGUGAUGACAUCGCUUCAAA
This is a non-coding RNA of Zootermopsis nevadensis, 341 nucleotides long. The record is from RefSeq and is a predicted model, not a curated record. Lineage: Eukaryota; Metazoa; Arthropoda; Insecta; Blattodea; Termopsidae.